This 430-nucleotide ribosomal RNA is filed under the name uncultured bacterium. RNAcentral describes it as "bacterial SSU rRNA". It matches the Rfam family "Bacterial small subunit ribosomal RNA", at positions 29 to 507 of the family's 1533-position model. The record is from RNAcentral.
AACGAACGCUGGCGGCAGGCUUAACACAUGCAAGUCGAACGCCCCGCAAGGGGAGUGGCAGACGGGUGAGUAACGCGUGGGAAUCUACCCAGAUCUUCGGAACAACUGAGGGAAACUUCAGCUAAUACCGGAUACGCCCUACGGGGGAAAGAUUUAUCGGUUCUGGAUGAGCCCGCGUUGGAUUAGCUAGUUGGUGGGGUAAUGGCCUACCAAGGCGACGAUCCAUAGCUGGUCUGAGAGGAUGAUCAGCCACACUGGGACUGAGACACGGCCCAGACUCCUACGGGAGGCAGCAGUGGGGAAUAUUGGACAAUGGGCGAAAGCCUGAUCCAGCCAUGCCGCGUGAGUGAUGAAGGCCUUAGGGUUGUAAAGCUCUUUCAGUGGGGAAGAUAAUGACGGUACCACAGAAGAAGCCCCGGCUAACUUCGUG